GACGAACGCUGGCGGCGUGCCUAAUACACGCAAGUAGAACGCUGAAGGAGGAGCUUGCUCUUCUGGAUGAGUUGCGAACGGGUGAGUAACGCGUAGGUAAUCUGCCUGGUAGCGGGGGAUAACUAUUGGAAACGAUAGCUAAUACCGCAUAAGAGUAGAUGUCGCAUGACAUUUGCUUAAAAGGUGCAAUUGCAUCACUACCAGAUGGACCUGCGUUGUAUUAGCUAGUUGGUGAGGUAACGGCUCACCAAGGCGACGAUACAUAGCCGACCUGAGAGGGUGAUCGGCCACACUGGGACUGAGACACGGCCCAGACUCCUACGGGAGGCAGCAGUAGGGAAUCUUCGGCAAUGGACGGAAGUCUGACCGAGCAACGCCGCGUGAGUGAAGAAGGUUUUCGGAUCGUAAAGCUCUGUUGUAAGAGAAGAACGAGUGUGAGAGUGGAAAGUUCACACUGUGACG
This 462-nucleotide ribosomal RNA is filed under the name Streptococcus sp. oral taxon 064. RNAcentral's name for it is "bacterial SSU rRNA". It matches the Rfam family "Bacterial small subunit ribosomal RNA", at positions 28 to 474 of the family's 1533-position model. The record is from RNAcentral. Lineage: Bacteria; Bacillati; Bacillota; Bacilli; Lactobacillales; Streptococcaceae.